RNAcentral lists this transfer RNA (70 nucleotides) under Dipodomys ordii (Ord's kangaroo rat). It matches the Rfam family "tRNA". Rfam says of the family: Transfer RNA (tRNA) molecules are approximately 80 nucleotides in length. Their secondary structure includes four short double-helical elements and three loops (D, anti-codon, and T loops). The record is from Rfam by way of RNAcentral. Lineage: Eukaryota; Metazoa; Chordata; Mammalia; Rodentia; Heteromyidae.
GGUAAUGUGGCUUAGUGGUAGAGUGUGUGCCUAACAUUCAUGAAGCCCUGGGUUCGAUUCCUCAGUGCCA